RNAcentral lists this ribosomal RNA (488 nucleotides) under uncultured bacterium. RNAcentral's name for it is "partial 16S ribosomal RNA". It matches the Rfam family "Bacterial small subunit ribosomal RNA", at positions 30 to 507 of the family's 1533-position model. The record is from RNAcentral.
UGAACGCUGGCGGUAGGCCUAACACAUGCAAGUCGAACGGCAGCACAGGAGAGCUUGCUCUCUGGGUGGCGAGUGGCGGACGGGUGAGGAAUACAUCGGAAUCUGCCCAGUCGUGGGGGAUAACGUAGGGAAACUUACGCUAAUACCGCAUACGACCUUCGGGUGAAAGAGGGGGAUCGCAAGACCUCUCGCGAUUGGAUGAGCCGAUGUCGGAUUAGCUAGUUGGCGGGGUAAUGGCCCACCAAGGCGACGAUCCGUAGCUGGUCUGAGAGGAUGAUCAGCCACACUGGAACUGAGACACGGUCCAGACUCCUACGGGAGGCAGCAGUGGGGAAUAUUGGACAAUGGGCGCAAGCCUGAUCCAGCCAUACCGCGUGGGUGAAGAAGGCCUUCGGGUUGUAAAGCCCUUUUGUUGGGAAAGAAAUCUUUCAGGCUAAUACCCUGGGAGGAUGACGGUACCCAAAGAAUAAGCACCGGCUAACUUCGUG